RNAcentral lists this ribosomal RNA (465 nucleotides) under uncultured bacterium. RNAcentral's name for it is "partial 16S ribosomal RNA". It matches the Rfam family "Bacterial small subunit ribosomal RNA", at positions 28 to 507 of the family's 1533-position model. The record is from RNAcentral.
GAUGAACGCUGGCGGCGUGCUUAACACAUGCAAGUCGAACGGAAAGGCUCCUGCUUGCAGGGGUACUCGAGUGGCGAACGGGUGAGUAACACGUGGGUGAUCUGCCCUGCACUUCGGGAUAAGCCUGGGAAACUGGGUCUAAUACCGGAUAGGACGAUGGUUUGGAUGCCAUUGUGGAAAGUUUUUCGGUGUGGGAUGAGCUCGCGGCCUAUCAGCUUGUUGGUGGGGUAAUGGCCUACCAAGGCGUCGACUGGUAGCCGGCCUGAGAGGGUGUACGGCCACAUUGGGACUGAGAUACGGCCCAGACUCCUACGGGAGGCAGCAGUGGGGAAUAUUGCACAAUGGGCGCAAGCCUGAUGCAGCGACGCCGCGUGGGGGAUGACGGCCUUCGGGUUGUAAACUCCUUUCGCUAGGGACGAAGCGCAAGUGACGGUACCUGGAGAAGAAGCACCGGCUAACUACGUG